GUCUUCUUCUUGUAUCCCCUUUGCUCCCUGGGUGUUAGGCACCUUGUUGUGACAAGCUCUAUACAUGCCGGCUAUGUCACGACACCCACGAAGAUCAUCAGCUGGACCGCUUCAAAGUAAAGGAAGUGCAGUGCAUCAACUGUGAAAAACUCCAGCAUGCCCAGCAGACUUGUGAGGACUGCAGCACACUGUUUGGAGAAUAUUACUGCAGUAUUUGCCACCUGUUUGACAAAGACAAGAAGCAGUAUCACUGUGAGAGCUGUGGGAUUUGUAGGAUUGGUCCAAAGGAAGAUUUUUUUCAUUGCUUGAAAUGUAACUUAUGCCUAGCCAUGACUCUUCGAGGAAAACACAAGUGUAUUGAAAAUGUUUCCCGGCAGAAUUGUCCAAUAUGCUUGGAGGACAUUCAUACCUCCCGUGUCGUUGCUCAUGUCUUGCCAUGCGGGCAUCUCCUACAUAGAACGUGUUAUGAAGAAAUGUUGAAAGAAGGUUACAGAUGCCCAUUGUGUAUGCAUUCUGCCCUAGACAUGACUCGGUACUGGAGACAAUUAGACAUUGAGGUAGCACAGACUCCUAUGCCAUCCGAAUACCAGAACGUGACCGUUGAUAUUCUCUGCAAUGACUGUAAUGGACGAUCCACAGUCCAGUUCCAUAUCUUAGGCAUGAAAUGUAAGCUUUGUGACUCCUACAAUACUGCUCAGGCUGGAGGCCGCACAGUGUCCAUGGAUGAGCAGUGAGAAGCCUGUCCUUGGCUGGAGAACAGCUCUGGGAUGUAGAUGAAGCUCUGUGUGGAAGACCCCGAUGUCCGGAUGUGUCCUAACUAUGCGUAGAGAUGUUUGUACCUGUCAACAGAUCAUACCUAUACACCAAGGACUCAAGAUCUCAGAUGGAAUCAGAAUAUCACUCACUGGAUGAAGCCUCUGAGCGUGUGUUGAUUGGAAAGUCACUUAGUGUCAAGUUUUGAAGCCAAUGAUGUUUGUCCCAGAUAUAGUCACAGUCAUCGAAAUAUUUUAUAUUUUCAUGGAACUUUAAGUGACACUAUGCACGCAGACUUAAUUUCUAGUUCUUGAUAGAACUACAUUCAAUUUUAACUAGUCUUUGAUUUUAAGGGCUGUACUAUAAUUUUUAAG
Molecule: long non-coding RNA, 1127 nt
Filed under: Rattus norvegicus (Norway rat)
Lineage: Eukaryota; Metazoa; Chordata; Mammalia; Rodentia; Muridae
Description: long non-coding RNA NONRATT009260
Source: RNAcentral